GGGUUGUGAGGUUAAGCGACUAAGCGUACACGGUGGAUGCCCUGGCAGUCAGAGGCGAUGAAGGACGUGCUAAUCUGCGAUAAGCGUCGGUGAGGUGAUAUGAACCGUUAUAACCGGCGAUUUCCGAAUGGGGAAACCCAGUGUGUUUCGACACACUAUCAUUAACUGAAUCCAUAGGUUAAUGAGGCGAACCGGGGGAACUGAAACAUCUAAGUACCCCGAGGAAAAGAAAUCAACCGAGAUUCCCCCAGUAGCGGCGAGCGAACGGGGAGGAGCCCAGAGCCUGAAUCAGUGUGUGUGUUAGUGGAAGCGUCUGGAAAGGCGCGCGAUACAGGGUGACAGCCCCGUACACAAAAAUGCACAUAUUGUGAGCUCGAUGAGUAGGGCGGGACACGUGGUAUCCUGUCUGAAUAUGGGGGGACCAUCCUCCAAGGCUAAAUACUCCUGACUGACCGAUAGUGAACCAGUACCGUGAGGGAAAGGCGAAAAGAACCCCGGCGAGGGGAGUGAAAAAGAACCUGAAACCGUGUACGUACAAGCAGUGGGAGCCUCUUAAUGGGGUGACUGCGUACCUUUUGUAUAAUGGGUCAGCGACUUAUAUUCUGUAGCAAGGUUAACCGAAUAGGGGAGCCGAAGGGAAACCGAGUCUUAACUGGGCGCUAAGUUGCAGGGUAUAGACCCGAAACCCGGUGAUCUAGCCAUGGGCAGGUUGAAGGUUGGGUAACACUAACUGGAGGACCGAACCGACUAAUGUUGAAAAAUUAGCGGAUGACUUGUGGCUGGGGGUGAAAGGCCAAUCAAACCGGGAGAUAGCUGGUUCUCCCCGAAAGCUAUUUAGGUAGCGCCUCGUGAAUUCAUCUCCGGGGGUAGAGCACUGUUUCGGCAAGGGGGUCAUCCCGACUUACCAACCCGAUGCAAACUGCGAAUACCGGAGAAUGUUAUCACGGGAGACACACGGCGGGUGCUAACGUCCGUCGUGAAGAGGGAAACAACCCAGACCGCCAGCUAAGGUCCCAAAGUCAUGGUUAAGUGGGAAACGAUGUGGGAAGGCCCAGACAGCCAGGAUGUUGGCUUAGAAGCAGCCAUCAUUUAAAGAAAGCGUAAUAGCUCACUGGUCGAGUCGGCCUGCGCGGAAGAUGUAACGGGGCUAAACCAUGCACCGAAGCUGCGGCAGCGACACUAUGUGUUGUUGGGUAGGGGAGCGUUCUGUAAGCCUGUGAAGGUGGCCUGUGAGGGUUGCUGGAGGUAUCAGAAGUGCGAAUGCUGACAUAAGUAACGAUAAAGCGGGUGAAAAGCCCGCUCGCCGGAAGACCAAGGGUUCCUGUCCAACGUUAAUCGGGGCAGGGUGAGUCGACCCCUAAGGCGAGGCCGAAAGGCGUAGUCGAUGGGAAACAGGUUAAUAUUCCUGUACUUGGUGUUACUGCGAAGGGGGGACGGAGAAGGCUAUGUUGGCCGGGCGACGGUUGUCCCGGUUUAAGCGUGUAGGCUGGUUUUCCAGGCAAAUCCGGAAAACCAAGGCUGAGGCGUGAUGACGAGGCACUACGGUGCUGAAGCGACAAAUGCCCUGCUUCCAGGAAAAGCCUCUAAGCAUCAGGUAACAUCAAAUCGUACCCCAAACCGACACAGGUGGUCAGGUAGAGAAUACCAAGGCGCUUGAGAGAACUCGGGUGAAGGAACUAGGCAAAAUGGUGCCGUAACUUCGGGAGAAGGCACGCUGAUAUGUAGGUGAAGCGACUUGCUCGUGGAGCUGAAAUCAGUCGAAGAUACCAGCUGGCUGCAACUGUUUAUUAAAAACACAGCACUGUGCAAACACGAAAGUGGACGUAUACGGUGUGACGCCUGCCCGGUGCCGGAAGGUUAAUUGAUGGGGUUAGCGGUAACGCGAAGCUCUUGAUCGAAGCCCCGGUAAACGGCGGCCGUAACUAUAACGGUCCUAAGGUAGCGAAAUUCCUUGUCGGGUAAGUUCCGACCUGCACGAAUGGCGUAAUGAUGGCCAGGCUGUCUCCACCCGAGACUCAGUGAAAUUGAACUCGCUGUGAAGAUGCAGUGUACCCGCGGCAAGACGGAAAGACCCCGUGAACCUUUACUAUAGCUUGACACUGAACAUUGAGCCUUGAUGUGUAGGAUAGGUGGGAGGCUUUGAAGUGUGGACGCCAGUCUGCAUGGAGCCGACCUUGAAAUACCACCCUUUAAUGUUUGAUGUUCUAACGUUGGCCCGUAAUCCGGGUUGCGGACAGUGUCUGGUGGGUAGUUUGACUGGGGCGGUCUCCUCCUAAAGAGUAACGGAGGAGCACGAAGGUUGGCUAAUCCUGGUCGGACAUCAGGAGGUUAGUGCAAUGGCAUAAGCCAGCUUGACUGCGAGCGUGACGGCGCGAGCAGGUGCGAAAGCAGGUCAUAGUGAUCCGGUGGUUCUGAAUGGAAGGGCCAUCGCUCAACGGAUAAAAGGUACUCCGGGGAUAACAGGCUGAUACCGCCCAAGAGUUCAUAUCGACGGCGGUGUUUGGCACCUCGAUGUCGGCUCAUCACAUCCUGGGGCUGAAGUAGGUCCCAAGGGUAUGGCUGUUCGCCAUUUAAAGUGGUACGCGAGCUGGGUUUAGAACGUCGUGAGACAGUUCGGUCCCUAUCUGCCGUGGGCGCUGGAGAACUGAGGGGGGCUGCUCCUAGUACGAGAGGACCGGAGUGGACGCAUCACUGGUGUUCGGGUUGUCAUGCCAAUGGCACUGCCCGGUAGCUAAAUGCGGAAGAGAUAAGUGCUGAAAGCAUCUAAGCACGAAACUUGCCCCGAGAUGAGUUCUCCCUGACUCCUUGAGAGUCCUGAAGGAACGUUGAAGACGACGACGUUGAUAGGCCGGGUGUGUAAGCGCAGCGAUGCGUUGAGCUAACCGGUACUAAUGAACCGUGAGGCUUAACCUUACAACGCCGAAG
RNAcentral lists this ribosomal RNA (2925 nucleotides) under Escherichia coli. RNAcentral describes it as "bacterial LSU rRNA". It matches the Rfam family "Bacterial large subunit ribosomal RNA". Lineage: Bacteria; Pseudomonadati; Pseudomonadota; Gammaproteobacteria; Enterobacterales; Enterobacteriaceae. The record is from RNAcentral.